CCUACGGGGGGCUGCAGUAGGGAAUCUUCCGCAAUGGACGAAAGUCUGACGGAGCAACGCCGCGUGAGCGAAGAAGGUCUUCGGAUCGUAAAGCUCUGUUGUUAGGGAAGAACAAGUACGGGAGGAAAUGACCGUACCUUGACGGUACCUAACGAGGAAGCCACGGCUAACUACGUGCCAGCAGCCGCGGUAAUACGUAGGUGGCAAGCGUUGUCCGGAAUUAUUGGGCGUAAAGCGCGCGCAGGCGGUCUUUUAAGUCUGAUGUGAAAUCUUGCGGCCCAACCGCAAGCGGUCAUGGGAAGUGGGGGGCCUGAGUGGCGAAGAGGAAAGGCGGAUUCCAAGUGGAGCGGGGAAAUGGGGAGGGGUGGGGGGGAACCACCAUGGGCAAGGGGGGCUUUUGGUUCGUAAAUGACGCUGGGGGGGCAAAGGCUGGGGAGCAAACAGGAUUAGAUACCCUUGUAGUC
RNAcentral lists this ribosomal RNA (464 nucleotides) under uncultured bacterium. RNAcentral's name for it is "partial 16S ribosomal RNA". It matches the Rfam family "Bacterial small subunit ribosomal RNA", at positions 338 to 795 of the family's 1533-position model. The record is from RNAcentral.